This is a long non-coding RNA of Alligator mississippiensis (American alligator), 5972 nucleotides long. RefSeq lists it as uncharacterized. The transcript has 2 exons. The record is from RefSeq and is a predicted model, not a curated record. NCBI's taxonomy places the organism in Eukaryota, Metazoa, Chordata, Crocodylia, Alligatoridae.
UUUGGCAAUAAGUGAGUUUAAGAACCGGAGCAUUUUUUUAAAUCUGAGAUCUCCAGUGGUACUCAGGAAGUGCUCGUAGUAAAACUGUUGGACCAGAGGCCCCCUCAAACUUAGGCUUUGUGUAUGCAGGUAAUUAGGGUCAACAUAGCCUAGGCUGGUGAUUCCUAACUUGGGUGCCUUGAGAGCCUUUGAAGGGUGCUGCGGGGUGCCAAGCCAUGUUAGCACUGCUAGGUGUGUGGACGUGAUUUGCAAGACUGAAACAGAUUUCAGAUAAGCCCUAAGGUUAAAAAAACAUUCUGCCCCAUUGUGGUCUUUCUGAGUUCUUUGCAACAGAAAAACUAUUCUGUCUUGUUUUUGUAAUUUAAAAAGCCUAGAGAGCUCAGAACUGGCAUUUUCCAAGGGAUGCCUUGAGCCUAAUGAGCGGGUUGAGAAUCGCUGUCCUAAGCUCCGUGGCUAGCCACAGUCCACCCAGCCCCAAACAUUCUGCUGAACUUCAGGAUAUGAGGAAAGGCCUGCCUUGCAGUGUACCUCUCCCUGCAGUAUGUUUGGAGAUUGCCCAGAUGCUGUAGGCCACAAGCACAGGAGUCCCUCCAGUGGCUGUUUUCAAGCUGCUUCUUCCUAACUUUCAGCCUUUCUGUCCUCAAAUCUUGUCUAUAAUUGGAGACAAGAUGUGCAGGAGAAACAAGUACCAUAUUUUCUUGCACAUAGCAUGCCUCAAAAUAAAAUAUGUACCUUGUUGAAAAGUAGAAGGAAGGAAAAAUAGCUUUCCUUGAAAUAGUAAGUUACUGAGUAGCACAGGGGCAGGCAAUUAUUUUGGGCAGAGGGACGCUUACUGAGUUUCAGCAAGCCAUCAAGGGCUGCAUGACAGGCAGUCCAGGGCAGGUUAAUAUUAAAUUUUCUAAAUUUUUUAGGGGCUCCAUGGGCCGGAUAGAAUGGCCUGGCGGGCCGCAUUUUGCCCACCCCUGGAGUAGCAGCUUCUGCAGCACGAGCCUCGGCUAGGGAGAAAGUGUCCACAGCCAGCAGCUAUGGAGCCCCGCUGUGCUGUCCGAUAUGCAGUGUUAUUUCACUUUCCUCAGACUGAUAUCUACAAGGGGAUCUGCUUGAAGGACAGGAAACAUACUUUGGAUGGCUUUGGUGUAGGCUGCAAGGUAAGAUACAGAUGAGGAAGGGUGGCACAUGUGGCUCAAGUUGGUUGAGACUGACCCUAAGUGACCUCUCAUCAUGGAUUCUGUGACUUUUCCUGUUUCAGAUAUGCAGAGGCAUAGUCUUGUUAAAGAUACUAUGGGGUACUUUCCAUCUGCUUUAGGGUUACUAACAGACAACUUGCAUAGCAAGAGAUGUGAAUUUUCUCUUGUCUGUGAUUGCCUUGUAACAAUGCCCAGCUUGAGACACCUGGUUCGUGUCUGAAGAUAUAGAACAUCUGUGCUCUGGAGCGGAUUUCUCUUUAGGGUGCUUAGUGAUGAAUUACCCAAUCUGGUAACACCCUAAUCUCACUGUCUCUCACCCCAUCCUCAUCAAUAAAUUAAGCGACUGCGGCAUUGAUGCCUGCACAGCAUGCUUAAACUCCAGGAGAAAGCACAAAAGAAAACUUCAGUAUCCACAGACAUAUAAGCUCCUUCUCCUGUUGGCCUGGGGUAGAUUCAGAUCAGCAACCUAGACCAGAAAGGUUCAUGCCUGUGUUCCUUGUCCUCACAGCCAGUCUGCUAUGAAUGAAUUAAUGACAUUUUUUUUAAUGUAGGGCUCAGCCCUGCAAGGCACUGAACACCACCAGCUUCCAUUAUGUUCAAAAGAAGUUAAACAAUGUUCAGCACUUUUAAGAAUCAGACUUUUUUCUACUACAUAUGAACAUGGCCAUACUAGACUGAAAACUGAAAAGAACAUGGACAAGUUAGCCCAUUUUGGUUUAUAUGUUUGCAUUCAUUUUUUGUGUCAUAAUCUGCAUGUACAGACAAACAGAAACUUUAUUUAUAUAAAAAAUGCAAUUAUAAUUGCAUUUUAAUUUACCCUAGCUCAAAGUAUGCACUUCUCCCGUGAAUUUAUCUCCACUGUAAGAAAAUACUAAGAUUUCAGUUAGAUAUGUAACCCUGCUAACGUUAUGCAUUCUCUGUUAUGGUCACUGGCUGUGUCUACACAAGAUGCUGACUGUGCAGUCAUUACUACACAGUCAUUUAGUGCUUGUAUAAACAAGCACUAAAUAACUGUGUACUAACUGGAGUUACUGCUCAGUAGCAUUGCCAAAUGGCUUUUAGGUGACUGCGCAGAAUCUUGUCACUACUGCACAGUAGCAUCGUGUAAUGCUUCCUGCCAUGUGAUGCUACUGCACAGUCAGCAUCUCAUGUACACACAGCCACUAUGUAUUUUUUUAGUAUCUAUAAUUGAAGGUUUGAGCCUACUCACACCCAGGUUUACUGUUAGUAGGCCUGCUUUUACUGCUUGAUGGUAAAAUGUGCAAAUGUAAAGGGCAGGUGGGUCAGAUAUUUGUGUCCACGGGCCCUCCUUUCCAAAACAGCGAAGUGUGUAGGUAUGCAAAAGUUUAAAAUGGAAAGUUAGAGAGGGCUCUGAGAGGUCAGCACUCACUUUGAGCUGGAAGAGAUGUGCAGUGGGUGACCUUCUUUUCCAACACAGAAAAAGCGUAUGUGUGAGGAGCAGAAGAGAUUGUAGACAGGAAUAUAGCAGGGCAGUCUGGCCCUUUAAGUGGGAUGGGCAGCUCUGAAGUAGGAGCCCAGCUGCAGGCGAUCAGCUGCUAGUUCAAAGCUCAGGAGAAGAGAGAGCAAGCAGCCUGAGCUGGGGAAGAAGUAGUUUGUGGUCAGGAGGCAGACUGGAAGCCAAAGGAGCUUGCUUCUAGGAAGAGCCAGAGCUAAAAGGGUCCUCACCUGCUGCCUGGAGAAAGACUGAAAACUUUGCUCUGUCAUUUGCUGCUUGACCACUGAGAAUACACUGAGACGUUCCAAAGGUCACCUUGCUAACCGAUGGUGCCUCAGCUUUACCUGUGUCUUGCCAGCAUUUAGCAGAAGGGAUUGUGCCAGCUAGCGUAUCAAACCCUGGUCUGGUCAUAUGCUGAGAAAUAAAAGCCUCCUCCCCUCCUUAGAUGGGGACUUCCUUUUUGGUCAAAGGCUCUGAAAUUACACUUGUCACUGACAAGUAUGUCAUAAGAGAUAACAGAGGAUUUAUUAUAAAGACAAAAGCAGUCAUAAGAAAUCAAGGACCAUUUGUUGAGAUACAGACAAAUGGAAAUAUCAGAACAAUGAUUUUCUCUUAUCCUAAACUCUAAGAAUAUAACUUCCACUUAUUAGCUCAACAGAUUAGAAAGCAGCCAUUGCCUCUGACCUUCUUGUCAGGGUUUUCUGCAAAUUCUCUUGUCAGCCUAUCACACUCACCCCACUAGCUGAAGGACCAAAGCACCUUAUGCCUGGAAAAUUUUAGACAAACACUUGCUCCUGUGGCAAGGUUUAAGUACGGUUUCUUAUCUGGCCAUUUAUGUAUUAUCCAUUGAAUUCUUGGAGUUCAUACUAUGCAUUUGAAUUCCUGCUCCACAAGGGUAUAUCUGUUUACCAGAUCCAGAGAUGGCUUUCAGACAUAAAGACUGUGAAUCUAAUAUCCUAAGAAUCCUGAAUCUUACUUAAUUUUCCAACUUAAUGUCCUUCCCUGAAUAGCCAGGUGUUAUUUGCCACAGUCCUCUCCUUUUAGAAUGCAAAUUUGUCUAGAAGGGCCUAUUCAUGUGUCUCAGACCACUUUGAAUGGCCAUUAAACAUAACCAUGUUGGAUACUAAUUCUCAGUAAUUACUUCUCUCAGUCAUUUAGGCUUUGGCCCUCUCCCAGAUGCAAAACCCACUGUUUAAGGAGUAACAUUAUCAUGUUAUGCAAUCCUGGCCUUACUAUAUGCGCCAUGGCAUAAAGUGAUGCCUGCCACUUUAAGAGGAGCUGGCAAGCUGCAGAGCAGCUGGCAGGUGGGCUCAGGCCGAAUUAGGUGGUCACCUGACAGCUACGAGGCUGCCUGGUUGGAUGAGGACUGGGCAGCCAGAGUAUAAGUCCAGAACCAGGGAGUAGGCUGCUAGAUGCAGCUGGGGAACCAAAGGAUUAACAUCACCUGGCAUGAGGACUGCCGCUCCGGUAAUGCCUGGCAGUUAGAGUAGGAAUUAUGGGGAAGGAGGAGGAUCCUUCUGGUCCUGGGUAAGACCUGAAACUGUGCCCUGCUGGGGUUGCAUGGUGUGGUGGAGCUGCCUGUAGCGGGCAACCCUCAGGAAAUGCCACACCUGAGUCUCCCCAGUGAAAGAUGAGGAUGGGGCACUGGAAAGCCUCAGCCCCUGCUGCCUUGUGGGUCACCCUGUAAAGGGGAAAGGCUAGGGGGGCACACCCCAACAGAAAAGCACAGGACCCAGGUCCACUGAGGGGGGGGCCUGAGGCGGGGUCCAGGCCCAUGGAGUAGGGCCUGAGAUAGCAGCCAAGGCCCACUGAUUGGAGCCUGAGGCCCAAGGGGCAUGAGGCCCAGGAGCCGGUUGAGGGGCAGUGAGUGAGCCAAGUGAGGGGCAGAGAAUGGCCCAUGAGGGGCAGAAUAGUGGCCUAGAGAAGGAGCCAGGAGGCCAAGGCCCACAGAAUGGGACUGGAGGUCAAGUCUGAACCAUAGGCCAAGUGCAGCCCAGCAAAGAGGCUGGGGGAGCAAUAAGGCAAAUUGGAUGCCAUCUGAGAGGCACAAGACACAGUAUUAGGGGAGGUUCAAAGCCAUGUGUUUAGCAGGACUGUUCGAAACUUCAGUCACUGAUUUGAUUUGGCAGAAAUUUGGCCUGAUUUGGUGGCUGAAUCUCCAAAUCUGAAUCAAAUCAGGAGACCCUUUAAUCUCUCUGAAUCGAAUCGGAACCCUCUGAAUUGUUUCAGAGAGAUUCAGAAAGAUUCAGUGAUUCAGACAUAGACACAGCUUUAAAUGUUUUUUCUACAUACCUCUAGGUAGCAGGCAAUUUGUGAAUGCUGCGAUGCUGGGACAUGGAGUGUCCCACAGAAGCACGGGGGGCUCCCCAGCACACUGGGCAGCAGAUCUGGAAGUGGACCAGAAGCACUUCUGGUCCAUUUCUGGGUCCACCGGGGAGCACGCAAGGAGGCCCCUCCAUAUCCCCCGGCUCAGCGACUGAUGCCUUCUGGUUCUAGGGGGGGCACCCGGGGUCCCCCUGCAGCUGAUCACUGAGCCAGGGGAGGCACAGGGGGGGCUCCCCUGCAUGUUUCCCAGUGGGACCCAGAAGUGGACCAGAAGUAUUUCAAGUCCACUUCCAGGUACACUGCCGAGCAUGUGGAGGAGCCCCUACCUGCAUUCCUGUGGGACACUCCAUCUGCCCCAGCAUCACAGCAUUCACAAGCCACGCUAGUACCUUGAGGUACAUAGAAAAAACAUUUAAAGCUGUGUCUAUGUCUGAAUCGCUGAUUCUCCGAAUCAGCAUCGAAUCUUCAGAUUCAGUUUUGGCCAAAUCGAAUCAGGGACAGUGAUCUGAAUCAACGAAUCAAAUCACUGUCCCUGAUCCAAAUCCAAAUCAAAUAAGGCCCACUUUGCACACCCCUAAUGUUUAGGCCUUUGGCAUCAGGGCCACAAAAUGAGCAGCCUCCCACGUGUAAAUAUCAAUGUUUGGUGACAUUGAAGGAAUGGCAGACUAAUAUGAUCCUCCAGGCCCAAAAGAGAGAAGCAAGGGGGGUAAGAGUGCUCAGAAACCCCCUUGGCUCAGCAAGGGCAUUCAGGAAUCCCUGAGGAUUGAAAGGAGGGCAUACAACCAGUGGAAGGGAGGAGCUAUUACCAAGGAGGAGUACUGCUCGGCCCGUGAGUGUAGGAGGGCUAUUAGGAAGGCCAAGGUAGAGAUGGAACUCAGGCUAGCGUCCAGUAUUAAGGACAACAAAAAAUACUUUUUCAAGUACAUUGGGAGAAAGAAGAGGGCACCGGGCAAUGUAGACCCCCUGCAAGAUGCAAACGGCAAUCUUGUGGCUACACCAGACAA